Molecule: ribosomal RNA, 856 nt
Filed under: uncultured bacterium
Lineage: Bacteria
Description: SSU rRNA
Rfam family: Bacterial small subunit ribosomal RNA
Source: RNAcentral
UACGUAAGGGGCAAGCGUUAAUCGGAAUUACUGGGCGUAAAGCGUGCGCAGGCGGUUAUAUAAGACAGAUGUGAAAUCCCCGGGCUCAACCUGGUAACUGCAUUUGUGACUGUAUAGCUGGAGUGCGGCAGAGGGAAAUGGAAUUCCGCGUGUAGCAGUGAAAUGCGUAGAUAUGCGGAGGAACACCGAUGGCGAAGGCAAUCCCCUGGGCCUGCACUGACGCUCAUGCACGAAAGCGUGGGGAGCAAACAGGAUUAGAUACCCUGGUAGUCCACGCCCUAAACGAUGUCAACUGGUUGUUGGGUCUUCACUGACUCACUAACGAAGCCCACGCGUGAAGUUGACCGCCUGGGGAGUACGGCCGCAAGGUUGAAACUCACAGGAAUUGACGGGGACCCGCACAAGCGGUGGAUGAUGUGGUUUAAUUCGAUGCAACGCGAAAAACCUUACCCACCUUUGACAUGUACGGAAGUUACCAGAGAUGGUUUCGUGCUCGAAAGAGAACAGUAACCCAGGUGCUCCAUGGCUGUCGUCAGCUCGUGUCGUGAGAUGUUGGGUUAAGUCCCGCAACGAGCGCAACCCUUGUCAUUAGUUGCUACAUUCAGUUGGGCACUCUAAUGAGACCGCCGGUGACAAACCGGAGGAAGGUGGGGAUGACGUCAAGUCCUCAUGGCCCUUAUAGGUGGGGCUACACACGUCAUACAAUGGCUGGUACAAAGGGUUGCCAACCCGCGAGGGGGAGCUAAUCCCAUAAAACCAGUCGUAGUCCGGAUCGCAGUCUGCAACUCGACUGCGUGAAGUCGGAAUCGCUAGUAAUCGCGGAUCAGAAUGUCACGGUGAAUACGUUCCCGGGUCU